Molecule: ribosomal RNA, 403 nt
Filed under: uncultured bacterium
Lineage: Bacteria
Description: partial 16S ribosomal RNA
Rfam family: Bacterial small subunit ribosomal RNA
Source: RNAcentral
AUUGAACGCUGGCGGCAGGCCUAACACAUGCAAGUCGAGCGAGCGGCGGACGGGUGAGUAAUGUAUGGGGACUGCCCGAUAGAGGGGGAUAACUAAUGGAAACGGUAGCUAAUACCGCAUACUAACGGAUAAACCAAAUGGGAUUAGCUAGUAGGGGAGGUAAUGGCUCACCUAGGCGACGAUCCCUAGCUGGUCUGAGGGUAUUAUCAGCCACACGGGGACGGAGACAGGUCCCAUACUCCUACGGAGGCAGCAGUGGGGAAUAUUGCACAAGGGGCGCAAGCCUGAUGUAGCCAUGCCGCGUGUAUGAAGAAGGCCCUAGGGUUGUAAAGUACGUUCAGUCGGGAGGCGUUACCUACAGAAGAAGCACCGGCUAACUCCGUGCCAGCCGCCGCGGUAAUUC